AACAUUCAAUGUCAAGAUUACAGCGCCAGCUGCAAGUAGCGCAAAUGCAACAGCGAAAACUUCAGACUGGGAAAUAACAUAAAAACUGUCAGGAUGCAUUUUCUUUUACAAUAGAAGGGAGAAAAAAAAAAUGAACAAUAUUGAGGGAAGAAAAACACUAAGAGCACCAACAGGGAAUGGUUCAGUUGAUACUCUUGGAGAUGAUCCUAGGCAGAGGGUCAUCACUUUAAAAAACCUAUCCUUUCUCUCAAAAACCAAAGGAAAGGCACAGGAAGUCCAAGUAUAAAAAGAUAAUAAAACAAAAUCUAGCAAGCUAUUAACAUGAUAGUAGCAUUCCCACCAAAAAUGAAGCAUGAGAAAGCAUGUGUAUAGGCACAAAAUGAAAGGGAACAAGAUCACAAGCAAACACCAAAGAAAGAUGAAAGCAAUUAAAUUCCACUUUAUUUAAUAUAUUCUGCAUCAGAUAGAUGUGUCAUAGAGCAUAUAAAUGUGAAAGAUAUGUUAUUCAUGACAUAAGAGCAAGUUUAAACUAAUUAAUCUAAAAUCAUUCUUCAAUUCAAAUGUAGGUCCAAUUGGGACCUUCAGUAAUCUUGUUCAAUUACAUCAAUUCUUUUUUUUUUUCCCCUUUAUAUUGAUCAUAGAACAAGGUAAAUUUAAUUUAUUUAGUUAUUUAUUAUUUUAUGAAUCAAGGUAUUUUUGCUAAUUUUCAAUAAUAUGAUGGAGCUAGAACUUUGCCAGUAACUUGUAAAAGAUUUCAGAUAAUACAAGAAUAUAGUUUUGGAAAUGAAAACCAGUUUGGGAAAAAUUUUAAGCUUUCUAGCUCCUUUUUACAAUUAUUUUAAGCUAAUGGAUUCUCAUGUAUUAUGUCUAGAAACACUUCUAGACAUGAACUGAAUACAUUGUCUUUCUAAGAAUUAAAGACCAAAUCAUCAACUGAUUGAAAACAUAAAAUAACACUUUCACAACCAUCAACCAUAUCACCAUCAAUUAGUGUGAAAAAUUAAAAGGGCCAAAAGUUUUCUGUUUGAAUACUGGUUAGAGUGCUAUUUAACAACAAAAAGGAAUAUCAUGUUGCAAUUCUAAUAUCUCAAGUUAUCUGCUUUUCUUUGCUUCCAAGUAUACCUCCUUAGUUAACUUACCCAUAUGUUAUCCAUCAAUACUCAAACUAGCAGCAGUCUUUGGAGCCUCAAAUGAUUUAAUGAUAUUGCUUGUUUUCUUACUGCUUUCCUCAAUCAGUAAUGAUCACCCUCCUAGCAAUGGUGGAGCAAAAAAUUUGAAAACCAAUCCAGAAAAUUGGUUGACCUAGCUAAUAGUUAGGUUACAGUUUUUACUUUAAAAAAUAGUUAACCAAAUCAGGUCAAGUGAGUGAAAUUCUCUGACCCAUAAAUUGGGGAUAACAAUCAACAAAGGUUUUUAUGUUGAGUUUGGGAUUGCCUCCACUAAAAUGGUUUAAGCCAAUUUGGCUUGGCUUCCCCUUACUACAUAUUUUCUUAAUUUUUCUAUUUUGUUUUCAAUGGGGGACAUCCAACACCCACCCCUCAAAUACAAUUAGACUAGACUCAACUUUAUAGGUCUAGUUGUCACUUGCACUGAGCGCAGUGACCCAUCCACUGAAGUCU
This 1619-nucleotide unclassified non-coding RNA is filed under the name Hevea brasiliensis (rubber tree). The record is from RNAcentral. Lineage: Eukaryota; Viridiplantae; Streptophyta; Magnoliopsida; Malpighiales; Euphorbiaceae.